RNAcentral lists this non-coding RNA (24 nucleotides) under Rattus norvegicus (Norway rat). Lineage: Eukaryota; Metazoa; Chordata; Mammalia; Rodentia; Muridae. The record is from RNAcentral.
UUUUUUAGUUGUUGGUUCUGUGAG